Molecule: ribosomal RNA, 497 nt
Filed under: uncultured bacterium
Lineage: Bacteria
Description: partial 16S ribosomal RNA
Rfam family: Bacterial small subunit ribosomal RNA
Source: RNAcentral
GAUGAACGCUGGCGGCGUGCCUAAUACAUGCAAGUCGAGCGAACAGACGAGGAGCUUGCUCCUCUGACGUUAGCGGCGGACGGGUGAGUAACACGUGGAUAACCUACCUAUAAGACUGGGAUAACUUCGGGAAACCGGAGCUAAUACCGGAUAAUAUAUUGAACCGCAUGGUUCAAUAGUGAAAGACGGUUUUGCUGUCACUUAUAGAUGGAUCCGCGCCGCAUUAGCUAGUUGGUAAGGUAACGGCUUACCAAGGCAACGAUGCGUAGCCGACCUGAGAGGGUGAUCGGCCACACUGGAACUGAGACACGGCCCAGACUCCUACGGGAGGCAGCAGUAGGGAAUCUUCCGCAAUGGGCGAAAGCCUGGCGGAGCAACGCCGCGUGAGUGAUGAAGGUCUUCGGAUCGUAAAACUCUGUUAUUAGGGAAGAACAAAUGUGUAAGUAACUAUGCACGUCUUGACGGUACCUAAUCAGAAAGCCACGGCUAACUACGUG